GCUGAAAGCAUCUAAGCACGAAACUUGCCCCGAGAUGAGUUCUCCCUGAGACUUUAAGUCUCCUGAAGGAACGUUAAAGACGAUGACGUUGAUAGGCCGGGUGUGUAAGCGCAGCGAUGCGUUGAGCUAACCGGUACUAAUGAACCGUGAGGCUUAACCUUACAACGCCGAAG
RNAcentral lists this ribosomal RNA (173 nucleotides) under Klebsiella pneumoniae. RNAcentral describes it as "partial 23S ribosomal RNA". It matches the Rfam family "Bacterial large subunit ribosomal RNA", at positions 2770 to 2925 of the family's 2925-position model. Lineage: Bacteria; Pseudomonadati; Pseudomonadota; Gammaproteobacteria; Enterobacterales; Enterobacteriaceae. The record is from RNAcentral.